ACUGGGUGUAAAGGGCGUGUAGGCGGAGAUGCAAGUUGGGAGUGAAAUCCAUGGGCUCAACCCAUGAACUGCUUUCAAAACUGCAUCCCUUGAGUAUCGGAGAGGCAAGCGGAAUUCCUAGUGUAGCGGUGAAAUGCGUAGAUAUUAGGAGGAACACCAGUGGCGAAGGCGGCUUGCUGGACGACGACUGACGCUGAGGCGCGAAAGCGUGGGGAGCAAACAGGAUUAGAUACCCUGGUAGUCCACGCUGUAAACGAUGAAUACUAGGUGUGGGAGGACUGACCCCUUCCGUGCCGUAGUUAACACAAUAAGUAUUCCACCUGGGGAGUACGACCGCAAGGUUGAAACUCAAAGGAAUUGACGGGGGCCCGCACAAGCAGUGGAUUAUGUGGUUUAAUUCGACGCAACGCGAAGAACCUUACCAGGAUUUGACAUCCAACUAACGAAGUAGAGAUACAUUAGGUGCCCUUCGGGGAAAGUUGAGACAGGUGGUGCAUGGUUGUCGUCAGCUCGUGUCGUGAGAUGUUGGGUUAAGUCCCGCAACGAGCGCAACCCCUAUUGUUAGUUGCUACGCAAGAGCACUCUAGCGAGACUGCCGUUGACAAAACGGAGGAAGGCGGGGACGACGUCAAAUCAUCAUGCCCCUUAUGUCCUGGGCUACACACGUAAUACAAUGGCCGUCAACAAAGGGAAGCAAAGCCGCGAGGUGGAGCAAACCCCCAAAAACGGUCUCAGUUCGGAUUGCAGGCUGCAACUCGCCUGCAUGAAGCUGGAAUUGCUAGUAAU
Molecule: ribosomal RNA, 786 nt
Filed under: uncultured Bacillota bacterium
Lineage: Bacteria; Bacillati; Bacillota
Description: bacterial SSU rRNA
Rfam family: Bacterial small subunit ribosomal RNA
Source: RNAcentral